This 102-nucleotide ribosomal RNA is filed under the name Enterobacter hormaechei. Its description in RNAcentral is "partial 23S ribosomal RNA". It matches the Rfam family "Bacterial large subunit ribosomal RNA", at positions 2824 to 2925 of the family's 2925-position model. RNAcentral also lists the same sequence under 5 other names. The record is from RNAcentral. Lineage: Bacteria; Pseudomonadati; Pseudomonadota; Gammaproteobacteria; Enterobacterales; Enterobacteriaceae.
CUCCUGAAGGAACGUUGAAGACGACGACGUUGAUAGGUCGGGUGUGUAAGCGCAGCGAUGCGUUGAGCUAACCGAUACUAAUGAACCGUGAGGCUUAACCUU